GCUCCUUCAUUUUGAGUCCAAAUUAAGUGAUUCAAAAGGCAAACUUCAAGAGAAUUUCGAGGGGAAUCUAGCGGUGAUCUCAGAAACGCGAGGGGAGGCUUCGUUUGAGUGGGGAAGCAUUUGGAGACCGUUCGGAGAGGAAAAGAUCCGGUACCGUGAGUUGGAGCACGCGUGAUCGGCUUUCAGGUCCGAGCACUAGUAGCCAGCGUUGAUCGAGCUUGGAGUAGACUUAUCCGGAGACGGG
Molecule: long non-coding RNA, 244 nt
Organism: Solanum verrucosum
Lineage: Eukaryota; Viridiplantae; Streptophyta; Magnoliopsida; Solanales; Solanaceae
Exons: 3
Source: RefSeq, a predicted model, not a curated record